RNAcentral lists this ribosomal RNA (506 nucleotides) under uncultured bacterium. Its description in RNAcentral is "partial 16S ribosomal RNA". It matches the Rfam family "Bacterial small subunit ribosomal RNA", at positions 29 to 523 of the family's 1533-position model. The record is from RNAcentral.
AUUGAACGCUGGCGGCAGGCCCAACACAUGCAAGUCGGACGGUAGCACAGAGGAGCUUGCUCUUCGGGUGACGAGUGGCGGACGGGUGAGUAAUGUCUGGGGAUCUGCCCGAUAGAGGGGGAUAACCACUGGAAACGGUGGCUAAUACCGCAUAACGUCGCAAGACCAAAGAGGGGGACCUUCGGGCCUCUCACUAUCGGAUGAACCCAGAUGGGAUUAGCUAGUAGGCGGGGUAACGGCCCACCUAGGCGACGAUCCCUAGCUGGUCUGAGAGGAUGACCAGCCACACUGGAACUGAGACACGGUCCAGACUCCUACGGGAGGCAGCAGUGGGGAAUAUUGCACAAUGGGCGCAAGCCUGAUGCAGCCAUGCCGCGUGUAUGAAGAAGGCCUUCGGGUUGUAAAGUACUUUCAGCGGGGAGGAAGGCGAUGUGGUUAAUAACCGCGUCGAUUGACGUUACCCGCAGAAGAAGCACCGGCUAACUCCGUGCCAGCAGCCGCCGUAA